RNAcentral lists this ribosomal RNA (1832 nucleotides) under Escherichia coli. Its description in RNAcentral is "partial 23S ribosomal RNA". It matches the Rfam family "Bacterial large subunit ribosomal RNA", at positions 419 to 2236 of the family's 2925-position model. Lineage: Bacteria; Pseudomonadati; Pseudomonadota; Gammaproteobacteria; Enterobacterales; Enterobacteriaceae. The record is from RNAcentral.
GGGACACGUGGUAUCCUGUCUGAAUAUGGGGGGACCAUCCUCCAAGGCUAAAUACUCCUGACUGACCGAUAGUGAACCAGUACCGUGAGGGAAAGGCGAAAAGAACCCCGGCGAGGGGAGUGAAAAAGAACCUGAAACCGUGUACGUACAAGCAGUGGGAGCACGCUUAGGCGUGUGACUGCGUACCUUUUGUAUAAUGGGUCAGCGACUUAUAUUCUGUAGCAAGGUUAACCGAAUAGGGGAGCCGAAGGGAAACCGAGUCUUAACUGGGCGUUAAGUUGCAGGGUAUAGACCCGAAACCCGGUGAUCUAGCCAUGGGCAGGUUGAAGGUUGGGUAACACUAACUGGAGGACCGAACCGACUAAUGUUGAAAAAUUAGCGGAUGACUUGUGGCUGGGGGUGAAAGGCCAAUCAAACCGGGAGAUAGCUGGUUCUCCCCGAAAGCUAUUUAGGUAGCGCCUCGUGAAUUCAUCUCCGGGGGUAGAGCACUGUUUCGGCAAGGGGGUCAUCCCGACUUACCAACCCGAUGCAAACUGCGAAUACCGGAGAAUGUUAUCACGGGAGACACACGGCGGGUGCUAACGUCCGUCGUGAAGAGGGAAACAACCCAGACCGCCAGCUAAGGUCCCAAAGUCAUGGUUAAGUGGGAAACGAUGUGGGAAGGCCCAGACAGCCAGGAUGUUGGCUUAGAAGCAGCCAUCAUUUAAAGAAAGCGUAAUAGCUCACUGGUCGAGUCGGCCUGCGCGGAAGAUGUAACGGGGCUAAACCAUGCACCGAAGCUGCGGCAGCGACGCUUAUGCGUUGUUGGGUAGGGGAGCGUUCUGUAAGCCUGUGAAGGUGUGCUGUGAGGCAUGCUGGAGGUAUCAGAAGUGCGAAUGCUGACAUAAGUAACGAUAAAGCGGGUGAAAAGCCCGCUCGCCGGAAGACCAAGGGUUCCUGUCCAACGUUAAUCGGGGCAGGGUGAGUCGACCCCUAAGGCGAGGCCGAAAGGCGUAGUCGAUGGGAAACAGGUUAAUAUUCCUGUACUUGGUGUUACUGCGAAGGGGGGACGGAGAAGGCUAUGUUGGCCGGGCGACGGUUGUCCCGGUUUAAGCGUGUAGGCUGGUUUUCCAGGCAAAUCCGGAAAAUCAAGGCUGAGGCGUGAUGACGAGGCACUACGGUGCUGAAGCAACAAAUGCCCUGCUUCCAGGAAAAGCCUCUAAGCAUCAGGUAACAUCAAAUCGUACCCCAAACCGACACAGGUGGUCAGGUAGAGAAUACCAAGGCGCUUGAGAGAACUCGGGUGAAGGAACUAGGCAAAAUGGUGCCGUAACUUCGGGAGAAGGCACGCUGAUAUGUAGGUGAAGUCCCUUGCGGAUGGAGCUGAAAUCAGUCGAAGAUACCAGCUGGCUGCAACUGUUUAUUAAAAACACAGCACUGUGCAAACACGAAAGUGGACGUAUACGGUGUGACGCCUGCCCGGUGCCGGAAGGUUAAUUGAUGGGGUUAGCGCAAGCGAAGCUCUUGAUCGAAGCCCCGGUAAACGGCGGCCGUAACUAUAACGGUCCUAAGGUAGCGAAAUUCCUUGUCGGGUAAGUUCCGACCUGCACGAAUGGCGUAAUGAUGGCCAGGCUGUCUCCACCCGAGACUCAGUGAAAUUGAACUCGCUGUGAAGAUGCAGUGUACCCGCGGCAAGACGGAAAGACCCCGUGAACCUUUACUAUAGCUUGACACUGAACAUUGAGCCUUGAUGUGUAGGAUAGGUGGGAGGCUUGGAAGUGUGGACGCCAGUCUGCAUGGAGCCGACCUUGAAAUACCACCCUUUAAUGUUUGAUGUUCUAACGUUGACCCGU